This 253-nucleotide ribosomal RNA is filed under the name uncultured prokaryote. Its description in RNAcentral is "partial 16S ribosomal RNA". It matches the Rfam family "Bacterial small subunit ribosomal RNA", at positions 523 to 775 of the family's 1533-position model. The record is from RNAcentral.
AUACGUAGGGGGCAAGCGUUGUUCGGAAUUACUGGGCGUAAAGGGCGCGUAGGCGGCACGGCAAGUCAGGAGUGAAAGCCCUGGGCUCAACCCGGGAACUGCUUUUGAAACUGCCGAGCUAGAGUGCGGAAGGGGCAACUGGAAUUCCCAGUGUAGCGGUGAAAUGCGUAGAUAUUGGGAAGAACACCGGAGGCGAAGGCGGGUUGCUGGGCCGACACUGACGCUGAGGCGCGAAAGCCAGGGGAGCGAACGG